Molecule: ribosomal RNA, 254 nt
Filed under: uncultured bacterium
Lineage: Bacteria
Description: partial 16S ribosomal RNA
Rfam family: Bacterial small subunit ribosomal RNA
Source: RNAcentral
UACAGAGGAGCCAAGCGUUGUCCGGAUUGACUGGGCGUAAAGCGCACGCAGGCGGGGGUGCGCGUGGGGUGUGAAAUCUGGCCGCUUAACGGCCAGGCGCCAUCCCAUACGGCACGCCUGGAGCCUUGCAGAGGUCGGUGGAAUUGCCGGUGUAGUGGUGAAAUGCGUAGAGAUCCGGCGGAACACCGGUGGUGAAGACGGUCUCCUGGGCCGAGGGCCGACGCUGAGGCGCGAGAGCGUGGGGAGCGAACCGG